This is a long non-coding RNA of Gigantopelta aegis, 363 nucleotides long. RefSeq lists it as uncharacterized. Lineage: Eukaryota; Metazoa; Mollusca; Gastropoda; Neomphalida; Peltospiridae. The record is from RefSeq and is a predicted model, not a curated record. The transcript is spliced from 2 exons.
CCACGGACUGUCCCCAAGACGCGAUCUGUCAGAUCAGCAACGUGGGCGGCGUCAGCGUCAGCAAGUGUUGUUUCGACCCCGAGAAGUGUGCAGUGAAGGCGGGCCAGUGUCCCCACUCUAGAGACACAGCCACGUGCACCAACACGUGUAUCGACGACGGCGACUGUACGACGACGUUGAAAUGUUGCAGGACAGCGUGCAACGGCAAGAAAUGUAUCGAACCCUUCCACGGCUGGUACUGGCGAGGUCGCUGACGUAGAACGCAUUGAUUAGUUAACUUGUAGAUUGUACUCAGUACACACUGCUCAACCCUAUCUGCUGUUUGAAACUAUUUGUAUUUUUAUAUAAAGCAUUGAUAAUAAA